Molecule: ribosomal RNA, 429 nt
Filed under: Bacteroidota bacterium
Lineage: Bacteria; Pseudomonadati; Bacteroidota
Description: Bacteroidetes bacterium partial 16S ribosomal RNA
Rfam family: Bacterial small subunit ribosomal RNA
Source: RNAcentral
UAGGGAAUCUUCCGCAAUGGACGCAAGUCUGACGGAGCAACGCCGCGUGAGUGAAGAAGGAUUUCGGUUCGUAAAACUCUGUUGUUAGAGAAGAACAGCGCAUAGAGUAACUGUUAUGCGUGUGACGGUAUCUAACCAGAAAGCCACGGCUAACUACGUGCCAGCAGCCGCGGUAAUACGUAGGUGGCAAGCGUUGUCCGGAUUUAUUGGGCGUAAAGCGAGCGCAGGCGGUCAAUUAAGUCUGAUGUGAAAGCCCCCGGCUCAACCGGGGAGGGUCAUUGGAAACUGGUUGACUUGAGUGCAGAAGAGGAGAGUGGAAUUCCAUGUGUAGCGUUGAAAUGCGUAGAUAUAUGGAGGAACACCAGUGGCGAAGGCGACUCUCUGGUCUGUAACUGACGCUGAGGCUCGAAAGCGUGGGUAGCAAACAGG